Zootoca vivipara (common lizard) is the source of this 150-nucleotide non-coding RNA. The record is from RefSeq and is a predicted model, not a curated record. Lineage: Eukaryota; Metazoa; Chordata; Lepidosauria; Squamata; Lacertidae.
CCUGACUUUGCGCUGAGCAUCAUUACACAACAGAUGAAACAUGUUCCGGUGAAAUUAUCCCAACAGGCUUUGGACUGCUUUUAAUGAAAGAGCUAACGCCAUGCUGCUUUAUGCAUCUUGCGGACCCCUUUGGCAUAGCUCGCGGACCCC